CGAAAGCCUGACGGAGCAACGCCGCGUGCGGGAGGACGGCCUGUGGGUUGUAAACCGCUUUUCUCAGGGAAGAUAAUGACGGUACCUGAGGAAUCAGCAUCGGCUAACUCCGUGCCAGCAGCCGCGGUAAUACGGAGGAGGCAAGCGUUAUCCGGAAUGAUUGGGCGUAAAGCGUCCGCAGGUGGCGAUGCAAGUCUGCUGUCAAAACCCAGGGCUCAACUCUGGUCAGGCAGUGGAAACUACAAAGCUAGAGUCUGGUAGGGGCAAAGGGAAUUCCCGGUGUAGCGGUGAAAUGCGUAGAGAUCGGGAAGAACAUCGGUGGCGAAAGCGCUUUGCUAGACCAGAACUGACACUCAGGGACGAAAGCUAGGGGAGCG
This 377-nucleotide ribosomal RNA is filed under the name uncultured cyanobacterium. RNAcentral describes it as "bacterial SSU rRNA". It matches the Rfam family "Bacterial small subunit ribosomal RNA", at positions 376 to 770 of the family's 1533-position model. The record is from RNAcentral. Lineage: Bacteria; Bacillati; Cyanobacteriota.